UACAGCUGUGUGAUCAACAAUCCCAUCACAAACCAGACCACACAUCUGGACAUCACUCAACUCUGUCAACCAUGUGAAGGUAUGCCUACAUCUGUGGUGAUAGUAUCCUUUAUUUACUUAGCUCAGCUGUCUUUAGAUGUGGAUCAGACCAACACAAUCACUUCCAUCACAGGCUCUCGUUUACUUUUCUUCAGAUCCUCCAGUUUCUGUAUCUCUGACUGUACUGAUCUUCACUGCGGCUGCUGGAUUGUUGAUUGUAGUUUUAGUUGUGAUCUGCUGCAUCUGCAAAAAAUGUAGGAAAAAAGUUCAGAAAGAGGAGGAAGAUGGAGCCGAUUCAGCUUUGUGCAAACCAAAAACACAAAAAACGAAAUCAAAUACAAAUGCUGUGUAUGAAAAUGUCCCCAAAAAACGAUGAUCAAAAACUGUAGGUUAUCUACUGGAAUUGAUGCUAUAGAGCUCAUAGCAUCAGUGAUAGGGCAGUGUCUCACGAUUUUUGGGUUUAUUCACAUUUUAUUUUUUGCAAGGUUUAUUUAAUCUCUUUUUUGUACUUCUAUGAUGUUGUUGUGAAUGUUGUUUAAAUGUAUUAGUUCACCAUUA
This is a long non-coding RNA of Carassius auratus (goldfish), 597 nucleotides long. RefSeq lists it as uncharacterized. NCBI's taxonomy places the organism in Eukaryota, Metazoa, Chordata, Actinopteri, Cypriniformes, Cyprinidae. The transcript has 3 exons. The record is from RefSeq and is a predicted model, not a curated record.